GAUGAAGAACGUAGCGAAAUGCGAUACUUGGUGUGAAUUGCAGAAUCCCGUGAACCAUCGAGUCUUUGAACGCAAGUUGCGCCUCAAGCCAUUAGGUUGAGGGCACGUCUGCCUGGGCGUCACAUAUCGUUGCCUGAUGCCAGUUUCCUCGUGAUGGGUGACUGUGCAGGGCGAAUGAUGGCUUCCCGUGAGCAUUGUUGCCUCAUGGUUGGUUGAAAAUUGAGUCCUUGGUAGGGAGCGCCGUGAUAGAUGGUGGUUGAGUGACGAACGAGACCCAAUCAUGUGAGACCCCUACCGAAUUUGGCCUUCAUGACCCACAUGCGUCUUUGGAACGCUCAUGACGAGACCUCAGGUCAGGCGGGGCUACCCGCUGAGUUUAAGCAUAUCAAUAAGCCGAGGA
Molecule: unclassified non-coding RNA, 400 nt
Filed under: soil metagenome
Description: partial contains 5.8S ribosomal RNA, internal transcribed spacer 2, and large subunit ribosomal RNA
Rfam family: 5.8S ribosomal RNA (bases 1-122)
Source: RNAcentral